RNAcentral lists this unclassified non-coding RNA (229 nucleotides) under plant metagenome. Its description in RNAcentral is "partial contains small subunit ribosomal RNA, internal transcribed spacer 1, and 5.8S ribosomal RNA". The record is from RNAcentral.
UUUCCGUAGGUGAACCUGCGGAGGGAUCAUUACAGAGUUCUCGCCCUCGCGGGUAGAUCUCCCACCCACUGUUAUCGUUACUGUGUUGCUUUGGCGGGCCGCCGGGCCCCGCUCGGCCGCCGGCUCCGGCUGGCGCGCGCCCGCCAGAGGCCCAGCAAACUCUGAAUGUUAGUGUCGUCUGAGUACUAUAUAAUAGUUAAAACUUUCAACAACGGAUCUCUUGGUUCUG